CCUACGUGGGGCAGCAGUGGGGAAUAUUGCACAAUGGGGGAAACCCUGAUGCAGCGACGCCGCGUGAGCGAAGAAGUACUUCGUUAUGUAAAGCUCUAUUAGUAGGGAAGAUAAUGACGGUAGCUGAGUAAAAAGCCCCGGCUAACUACGUGCCAGCAGCCGCGGUAAUAAGUAGGGGGCGAGCGUUAUCCGGAUUUACUGGGUGUAAAGGGAGCGCAGGCGGCGUUGCAAGGCAGGCGGGAAAGGUAGGGGCUCAACCCCAAGACUGCGCUGGAAACUGUACGGCGGGAGUGCAGGAGAGGUAAGCGGAAUUCCUGGUGUAGCGGUGAAAUGCGUAGAUAUUAGGAGGAACACCAGUGGCGAAGGCGGCUUACUGGACUGUAACUGACGUUGAGGCACGAAAGCAUGGGGAGCAAACAGGAUUAGAUACCCGUGUAGUC
Molecule: ribosomal RNA, 440 nt
Filed under: uncultured bacterium
Lineage: Bacteria
Description: partial 16S ribosomal RNA
Rfam family: Bacterial small subunit ribosomal RNA
Source: RNAcentral